CCCUUAGAUGUUCUGUGCCGCACGCGCGCUACACUGAUGCAUUCAACGAGUUUCUUCCUGGUCCGAGAGGAAUGGGUAACCUUUUGAAAGUGCAUCGUGAUAGGGAUAGACUAUUGCAAUUAUUGGUCUUCAACGAGGAAUUCCUAGUAGACGUAGUUCAUCAGACUGCAUCGAUUACGUCCCUGCCCUUUGUACACACCGCCCGUCGCUCCUACCGAUUGAAUGCUCAGGUGAGCCAUUCGGACUUUCAUCAUGCUGGUUUCCAGUUUUGAUGAAGGAAAGUCUUGCGAACCUUAUCAUUUAGAGGAAGGAGAAGUCGUAACA
This 324-nucleotide ribosomal RNA is filed under the name uncultured eukaryote. RNAcentral's name for it is "partial 18S ribosomal RNA". It matches the Rfam family "Eukaryotic small subunit ribosomal RNA", at positions 1470 to 1796 of the family's 1831-position model. The record is from RNAcentral.